This is a long non-coding RNA of Chelonia mydas (Green sea turtle), 1477 nucleotides long. RefSeq lists it as uncharacterized. The record is from RefSeq and is a predicted model, not a curated record. NCBI's taxonomy places the organism in Eukaryota, Metazoa, Chordata, Testudines, Cheloniidae. The transcript is spliced from 4 exons.
CUGCAAAGCCAGUACAAGCUGGAGGCAGGGCUUUACAAAGGGGAGCAGAGCAGCUCAGAAGGAGACAGCUGACAGGAACAGAGGGGUGCUCUGAAGGGAAAAUAUUACCCAGGAACUCAUUGCUAACAAAGGAGAGGCAGGCAACUGAGACUGCAGGCCAAAGACUUGAUUAGAUCGGACUACUCCAUCUGAGUCAAUGGGGCUGCCCUGUGCCUACAAGAAAAGAUGUGUGCAGUGUUGCUGUAGCUGUGUCAGACCUAGGAUAUUAGAGCGGCAAGGAGCUGCUGUGUGGGCAAGUCACCUGACCAGUCAGUGCAUCAGUUUCCCUCAUUUGCUUACACAAGUCGAGCACAUGAAGUCCUUACACGCACGCAAAACUCUUAUUGGCAUUUGCUUCCCGUGAACAUUUAUUAUAACCUUCCCCCACCCACCCACAAGUCGUCUACUUGCCUGAAGCAGCUUCCUUCCUUUUUUCUUUUGGUUUGAGAUGCUGGACUAGAGAAAGGGGUCACAUGUGACUAGCUUAGCCUAUUGAAUUUAGAUAAUCUAUCAGAUUCAGCAGGUAUUUGCAGACUGAUAUAAACAACAGCCUUUCCCACAGAACGCUCCCGCUGCACCUCACUUAUAAAUCUCUACAGGACGGCUAUUAUUGAUAUAAGAUUUCAUAUCUGCUGAACAAUAACCACCAGCUGCGAUAAAACUCAUCAUUGUCACCCCUGCUAUAACUACAAUUCAGAUGCUAUUUUCACCCUGUAUGAAUCAAUACCAGGUCAAUAUACACUGUGUUUUAAAUAGGUCUUGGGGACAUUGUUCAGAGCUCUCUAAGUGAAUUCAGUGGAAUCUGAACAGCCUGGCCUGGGGAAAUGGGGCUAAAGAAAAGAUACAAAUGUAAAAAUCCAAAUGUUAGAGCAAGAUGUCCAAACCUAUAUGAAAGAAUUAAGCACUGUCCUUAAAACAUACAUGCCUAGUGCAUGCUAACCUCAGUUUAUCCAUCACUCUGAUGCUUUGUCUUUUAAAAUGUGAUGCCAAACUCCAAAUCAGCUCUGUCAAAUUUCAGUCUGUUUUUCAAAAUUGCUCUUAGCCGUUGCUCGGCAUGACAUGUGUGUGAUAUUGCUCCAAUCAAAGAUAAAAUCAUUACAUUUUCUUUUAAUCAAGAAAAGUAAAUGAAUGUGUUUGUGGAACUGCAGGCAGGGAUAAUAUCUGGCUCCUUGUUCUAUACUUACCAAAUGUGUUUCCUGUGGCCUUCUAAGUAGCGUUUACCAAAAUACUGUGAAUGGUUAAUGUGCAGAUGAGAUGUCAAUAAAGAUCAAAAGGAGGAGUGAAGACAAUGAUUUAUUUCAAUAUGUAAAGGCUAGUGCUUCUAUAUGGAAAACUACUGCAGCCAACAGCCCCAAACUCUGAUUAUUGCUAUCUGCCUACAUUCGAAAGGCGGGGUUUGCAUGAAGGGGGGAGGCUUUGCUUCUAUCAUGUUUUUGUU